This 805-nucleotide ribosomal RNA is filed under the name Actinocladium aquaticum. RNAcentral's name for it is "Actinocladium JY-2022a partial large subunit ribosomal RNA". It matches the Rfam family "Eukaryotic large subunit ribosomal RNA", at positions 66 to 903 of the family's 3401-position model. The record is from RNAcentral. Lineage: Eukaryota; Fungi; Ascomycota.
CAACAGGGAUUGCCUCAGUAACGGCGAGUGAAGCGGCAACAGCUCAAAUUUGAAAUCUGGCACCCGCCCGAGUUGUAAUUUGCAGAGGAGGCUUUGGAGUCGCCCCGGUCCAAGUUCCUUGGAACAGGACGUCGCAGAGGGUGAGAAUCCCGUACGCGGCCGGAUGGCUUCUCCGUGUAAAGCCCCUUCGACGAGUCGAGUUGUUUGGGAAUGCAGCUCUAAAUGGGAGGUAAAUUUCUUCUAAAGCUAAAUACCGGCCAGAGACCGAUAGCGCACAAGUAGAGUGAUCGAAAGAUGAAAAGCACUUUGAAAAGAGAGUUAAAAAGUACGUGAAAUUGUUGAAAGGGAAGCGUUUGUAGCCAGACUUGGCGGCAGUUGCUCAACCGGUCUUUGCCCGGUGCACUCUUCUGCCGACAGGCCAGCAUCAGUUCGGGCGGCCGGAUAAAGGCAUUGGGAACGUGGCUCCUCGGAGUGUUAUAGCCCUUUGCACAAUGCGGCCAGCCCGGACUGAGGACCGCGAUUCACGGAUGCUGGCUUAAUGGCUGCCAACGGCCCGUCUUGAAACACGGACCAAGGAGUCUAACAUCUAUGCGAGUGUUUGGGUGUCAAACCCGUACGCGUAAUGAAAGUGAACGGAGGUGGGAGCCUUUGCGGGCGCACCAUCGACCGAUCCUGAUGUCUUCGGAAGGAUUUGAGUAAGAGCAUAGCUGUUGGGACCCGAAAGAUGGUGAACUAUGCCUGAAUAGGGUGAAGCCAGAGGAAACUCUGGUGGAGGCUCGCAGCGGUUCUGACGUGCAAAUCGAUC